Molecule: ribosomal RNA, 890 nt
Filed under: Virgibacillus sp.
Lineage: Bacteria; Bacillati; Bacillota; Bacilli; Caryophanales; Bacillaceae
Description: bacterial SSU rRNA
Rfam family: Bacterial small subunit ribosomal RNA
Source: RNAcentral
UACAUGCAGUCGAGCGCGGGAAGCAAGCUGAUCCUCUUCGGAGGUGACGCUUGUGGAACGAGCGGCGGACGGGUGAGUAACACGUGGGCAACCUGCCUGUAAGACUGGGAUAACCCCGGGAAACCGGGGCUAAUACCGGAUAAUACUUUUCAUCACCUGAUGAAAAGUUGAAAGGUGGCUUUUAGCUACCACUUACAGAUGGGCCCGCGGCGCAUUAGCUAGUUGGUGAGGUAACGGCUCACCAAGGCAACGAUGCGUAGCCGACCUGAGAGGGUGAUCGGCCACACUGGGACUGAGACACGGCCCAGACUCCUACGGGAGGCAGCAGUAGGGAAUCUUCCGCAAUGGACGAAAGUCUGACGGAGCAACGCCGCGUGAGUGAUGAAGGUUUUCGGAUCGUAAAGCUCUGUUGUUAGGGAAGAACAAGUGCCGUUCGAAUAGGGCGGCACCUUGACGGUACCUAACCAGAAAGCCCCGGCUAACUACGUGCCAGCAGCCGCGGUAAUACGUAGGGGGCAAGCGUUGUCCGGAAUUAUUGGGCGUAAAGCGCGCGCAGGCGGUCCUUUAAGUCUGAUGUGAAAGCCCACGGCUCAACCGUGGAGGGUCAUUGGAAACUGGAGGACUUGAGUACAGAAGAGGAGAGUGGAAUUCCACGUGUAGCGGUGAAAUGCGUAGAGAUGUGGAGGAACACCAGUGGCGAAGGCGACUCUCUGGUCUGUAACUGACGCUGAGGCGCGAAAGCGUGGGGAGCGAACAGGAUUAGAUACCCUGGUAGUCCACGCCGUAAACGAUGAGUGCUAGGUGUUAGGGGGUUUCCGCCCCUUAGUGCUGAAGUUAACGCAUUAAGCACUCCGCCUGGGGAGUACGGCCGCAAGGCUGAAACUCAAAGA